RNAcentral lists this transfer RNA (67 nucleotides) under Marmota monax (woodchuck). RNAcentral's name for it is "tRNA.Ala". The record is from RNAcentral. Lineage: Eukaryota; Metazoa; Chordata; Mammalia; Rodentia; Sciuridae.
UGCAGCUCAGUGGUAGAGCACUUGCCUAGCAUGUGUGAGGCACUGGGUUCCAUUCUCAGCACUGCAU